RNAcentral lists this ribosomal RNA (232 nucleotides) under uncultured bacterium. RNAcentral's name for it is "partial 16S ribosomal RNA". It matches the Rfam family "Bacterial small subunit ribosomal RNA", at positions 118 to 347 of the family's 1533-position model. The record is from RNAcentral.
UGGGCAACCUGCCCCAGACUCAGGGAUAACCCCGGGGAAACCGGGGCUAAUACCCGAUACUCCGAUCGAACCACAUGGCUCGAUCGGGAAAGCUCCGACGGUCUGGGAUGGGCCCGCGGCCUAUCAGCUUGUUGGUGGGGUCAUGGCUCACCAAGGCGACGACGGGUAGCUGGUCUGAGAGGAUGGCCAGCCACAUUGGGACUGAGACACGGCCCAGACCUCCGUACGGGAG